This 72-nucleotide transfer RNA is filed under the name Mus musculus (house mouse). RNAcentral's name for it is "tRNA-Gln (TTG) (tRNA-Gln-TTG-4-1, tRNA-Gln-TTG-5-1)". It matches the Rfam family "tRNA". Rfam says of the family: Transfer RNA (tRNA) molecules are approximately 80 nucleotides in length. Their secondary structure includes four short double-helical elements and three loops (D, anti-codon, and T loops). RNAcentral also lists the same sequence under 3 other names. The record is from Rfam by way of RNAcentral. Lineage: Eukaryota; Metazoa; Chordata; Mammalia; Rodentia; Muridae.
GGACCCAUGGUGUAAUGGUUAGCACUCUGGACUUUGAAUCCAGCAAUCCAAGUUCAAAUCUCGGUGGGACCU